RNAcentral lists this unclassified non-coding RNA (20 nucleotides) under Mus musculus (house mouse). RNAcentral's name for it is "oocyte_clustered_small_RNA6584". The record is from RNAcentral. Lineage: Eukaryota; Metazoa; Chordata; Mammalia; Rodentia; Muridae.
GGACGUGUAAUGAGGGCUUU